AGAUAGACGCGCAUCUGUGAGCAGCAGAGGGGCUCAUAUUCAGGGGCUAACUCUGCCAGCUGUGUGGUGAGAGGGAGCUGCCACCGCUUGAUCUGUUCAUCUGUAAUGAGGGAGUCUUAGAAGCUUCACUCACCACAGUGAACUGUUGUAGGAGUUAAAGGGAGGCGUCUACAAAGCAUGCUGGGAACUGAAAAGGCCUUUCUGUAGAAUGAAGCAACAUUUUCAAAACUUACGAUUUAAGCCACAUUUCACUCUUGGGCAGAUGAAUUUGACUCUCUAUUUUUAAAGUUUGAAGAGACAGGAGACAUGCUGGGUGAACUUCAUCUGCGUCUCCCGCCAGAUGCUGUCUGCCACACAAACCAGCCAAAGAGGCCAUGCAGUGGGCCAAUUAAACAGCAGUCGACUGAAUAAAUGAGAAAUAAAUGACUGGCUGACGGGAGCAUGAAGGAGGAGGAGGAGGAGGCACACAUAGAAAUAAAUGACUGGCUGACGGGAGCAUGAAGGAGGAGGAGGAGGNNNNNNNNNNCAACCAGAAGAGGGAGCAGUUACAUCAACUCAUACUCCUGCUCCUGAGAAAGCCCUCGGGCUCAUAGAAGCGUUACCACUCCAACCUGAGGAGAGGAAAGAAAAUAAAGAAAACUAUCUAAGUGACUAUCAGCAACCUAUCUGCUCACAACUAUCAAGAUCACACUUGGACAGUCUCCCUCAGGACACUACAUUGUCACCUCCAGACAAGCCCUCCAUACAAGCUCAGGAUGUUCAGUGCCUCUUGCUGGCUACAAGGAGAGCAAGGCAGGUCCAGGUUUGCUUCAGUCUCUGUGGUAGUUUAAAUAUGCUUGGAGCAUGGGUAGUGGCACUAUUAGGAGGUGUGGCCUUGUUGGAGGAAGUGUGUCGCCGUGGAGGUGGGCUUAAUCAGGUUCUGCCCAAUGUGGAAAAGAGUCUCCUUCUGGCUGCCUGCAGGAGACAAUCUGAUCUUAGCAGCCUUCAGACCAAGAUGUAG
Molecule: long non-coding RNA, 1000 nt
Filed under: Mus spicilegus (steppe mouse)
Lineage: Eukaryota; Metazoa; Chordata; Mammalia; Rodentia; Muridae
Description: lncRNA (ENSMSIG00000028094.1)
Source: RNAcentral